This 217-nucleotide long non-coding RNA is filed under the name Solanum tuberosum (potato). Its description in RNAcentral is "long non-coding RNA (STUB_LNC000912)". Lineage: Eukaryota; Viridiplantae; Streptophyta; Magnoliopsida; Solanales; Solanaceae. The record is from RNAcentral.
AGGCUGGAGAGAAAAAUUGUUUAAAAACUUUUGAGUUAUCAUUGAAAUACAUAGGCUUUUUGAGGCGAAAAUAGAUCAAAAGGUCCACAAAACAUUACGGAGUGUUUAGGUUCUAUUUUUCUUUUCCAAAACGAGUUCAUCAGAACCCUCGGAGUCGGGUCUUGGUAGUGAAAGCUCGUUCUCGCUCAGUUCGUUUCCCAGUUCCUGCUCAAAAAGA